UUUAAAUAAAAUAUUUGUGGUUUCUUUUAUAGGUACAGGUCUUAACAUAUUUUCAAUUCUGGAUGCUUGCCUUCCUAAAGAUUGCAUAUAUAAAUUUGUAUAGUUAUUUUGUUCUAUUACAUGUGGAAUUAAUUCAGCUUUAUGUAUUAUUUCUCCUGUGGUCAUUUUAUAUGGUGUAGCCUUUGUUUCUAAUUUUAAUUCUGGUUUUGAUCCUUUUA
This 218-nucleotide long non-coding RNA is filed under the name Amborella trichopoda. Its description in RNAcentral is "long non-coding RNA (ATRI_LNC004024)". Lineage: Eukaryota; Viridiplantae; Streptophyta; Magnoliopsida; Amborellales; Amborellaceae. The record is from RNAcentral.